UCUUGCAAAUUACUUAUCAAAGUCUAUAAAUAUCACGCCUGCUGCCUGAUUGCUUGUUUACUUUCUGUUCUCGAGUCUGAGUGAGAAGCGUCAUGAGGACAGAGGUCUCAGGGGCUGGCUCACCACUGCUCCUUCUGGGCCUAGCGCGGCUCCUGGAACCCAGUGGGAGUUCCGCUGAUGGCUGUCCAUUGGGAAAAUGAAGACUGAAUGAGUUCUCCGGGGGGAAAUGAAAUUUCCACAAUUGGGAGGAUUUAAGAAGUUGGAUGGCCAGUAGGCGGGAAGCCAACCCAACUCCUGCGUUAGUUGAAGAUAUAAGGAAAACAACAACAAUACCUACCUCUUAACAUUGUGAGGCUUAAAGGAGCAGGGGGCCUAGAUCCACAAACUCCUGAAGUCAAGUUGGGAAACAUGUUCACUCCUGUUGUGUGUACCAUGGAAGGUGGAGGGUGGCAGUUAGUGCGGUUUAAACAGUUCCUGCACCUGCUAGAGCCAGCCCUCCAGUAGCCUAGGAGCACAGCCACCCAGAAGAGGAAAGCUUUGAAAUUUGUGUUUGGCCCUGGAGCUCUUGGCCACUGAUGGGAGUGGCAGCUCUACAG
Molecule: long non-coding RNA, 596 nt
Organism: Octodon degus (degu)
Lineage: Eukaryota; Metazoa; Chordata; Mammalia; Rodentia; Octodontidae
Exons: 3
Source: RefSeq, a predicted model, not a curated record